UAUAAUCUAACUAUUUGAGAAGGUGUUCUCCUUCUCACCACAGGUCUACACAUUACUCUCUCCCCUUCUGUUAAACAUCUUUUCAUUACCCAAGUGAGCAGCUUGGCAACCGUGAACAGAACGGCCACAGCAUGGGAUGUCACAGACUGGCAGUCUUUAACUUUCCAACUUGUGCUGGCUACAGUUGAACAAAAGAAACAAGAGUUUUACUCCUUUGAGAUGGCAAACCAUGGUUUGUAGAUGACCAGCAAGCAAGACCUCAGCUAUCAUGGCAUAAGUAAGAUUACAAACAUGUGUUCCUAACUGCUU
RNAcentral lists this long non-coding RNA (309 nucleotides) under Salvator merianae (Argentine black and white tegu). RNAcentral's name for it is "lncRNA (ENSSMRG00000008200.1)". The record is from RNAcentral. Lineage: Eukaryota; Metazoa; Chordata; Lepidosauria; Squamata; Teiidae.